RNAcentral lists this ribosomal RNA (1239 nucleotides) under Noccaea caerulescens. RNAcentral's name for it is "bacterial LSU rRNA". It matches the Rfam family "Bacterial large subunit ribosomal RNA", at positions 1220 to 2458 of the family's 2925-position model. The record is from RNAcentral. Lineage: Eukaryota; Viridiplantae; Streptophyta; Magnoliopsida; Brassicales; Brassicaceae.
CACAUAUGGUAGGAGAGCGUUCCGUAAGCCUGAGAAGGUGUCUUGUAAAGGAUGCUGGAGGUAUCGGAAGUGCGAAUGCUGACAUGAGUAGCGAUAAAGAGGGUGAAAAGCCCUCUCGCCGAAAGCCCAAGGUUUCCUGUUCAACGUUCAUCGGAGCAGGGUGAGUCGGCCCCUAAGGCGAGGCAGAGAUGCGUAGCUGAUGGGAAGCAGGUUAAUAUUCCUGCACCGUCGUAUGAUGCGAUGGGGGGACGGAUCGCGGAAGGUUGUCCAGCUGUUGGAAUAGCUGGUUUUUGACUCAUAGAAGGUGCUUAGGCAAAUCCGGGCACGUAAUUCAAGGGGUCGAGACGUGUGUCCUUGUGACACGAAGCAAUCGGAAGUGGUUCCAAGAAAAGCCUCUAAGCUUCAGUCAUACGAGACCGUACCGCAAACCGACACAGGUGGGCGAGAUGAGUAUUCUAAGGCGCUUGAGAGAACUCGGGAGAAGGAACUCGGCAAAUUGGUACCGUAACUUCGGGAUAAGGUACGCCCCGGUAGCUUGAUUGGUUUACUCCAUGAGGGUGAAAGGGUUGCAAUAAACUGGUGGCUGCGACUGUUUAAUAAAAACACAGCACUCUGCAAACACGAAAGUGGACGUAUAGGGUGUGACGCCUGCCCGGUGCUGGAAGAUUAAAUGAUGGGGUGCAAGCUCUUGAUUGAAGUCCCAGUAAACGGCGGCCGUAACUAUAACGGUCCUAAGGUAGCGAAAUUCCUUGUCGGGUAAGUUCCGACCUGCACGAAUGGCGUAACGAUGGCCACACUGUCUCCUCCCGAGACUCAGCGAAGUUGAAAUGUUUGUGAUGAUGCAAUCUACCCGCGGCUAGACGGAAAGACCCCAUGAACCUUUACUGUAGCUUUGCAUUGGACUUUGAAUCGAUCUGUGUAGGAUAGGUGGGAGGCUUUGAAGCGUGGACGCCAGUUUGCGUGGAGCCAUCCUUGAAAUACCACCCUGGUUUAUUUGAGGUUCUAACCUUGACCCGUUAUCCGGGUCGGGGACAGUGCAUGGUAGGCAGUUUGACUGGGGCGGUCUCCUCCCAAAGUGUAACGGAGGAGUUCGAAGGUACGCUAGGUACGGUCGGACAUCGUGCUAAUAGUGCAAUGGCAUAAGCGUGCUUAACUGCGAGACUGACAAGUCGAGCAGGUACGAAAGUAGGACAUAGUGAUCCGGUGGUUCUGUAUGGAAGGGCCAUCGCUCAACGGAUG